This 392-nucleotide long non-coding RNA is filed under the name Dasypus novemcinctus (nine-banded armadillo). Its description in RNAcentral is "lncRNA (ENSDNOG00000050034.1)". Lineage: Eukaryota; Metazoa; Chordata; Mammalia; Cingulata; Dasypodidae. The record is from RNAcentral.
CCGAGCUUCCCGCACCACAGGCCCGAAGUAUCUCCUCGCAGCGACCAGGUGAAGAAGCCGCGCGUGGAGCCCGCGCUGAGCUUACCCGGCAUCUGCCCGACUCACCGGCCCAGGGCCCAGACCUGCGUGUAGACAUGGGCUUCCAGCUGCCGUCACCUGGACGUCGCCCCGAGGGUGAAGCUGGGAUUUUGACUGCGACAUGCUCACUCUUAACUGCCCACACCAGGGGUUCAGGACCAGAGCUGGAGGGCUUUCUCCAGAGGCAGGAAACAGUCUGACUGGAGGGAGGUAAGAGGAAACAAAGUCUCUCCAAAUGAGUGCACACCUUGCUGGAGUAUUGUGCUUCCAGAAAAGUCUUAGAUGUAACAAAACUUUUCAAUCCUGGGCUCCCA